RNAcentral lists this ribosomal RNA (253 nucleotides) under Flintibacter butyricus. RNAcentral describes it as "partial 16S ribosomal RNA". It matches the Rfam family "Bacterial small subunit ribosomal RNA", at positions 524 to 776 of the family's 1533-position model. Lineage: Bacteria; Bacillati; Bacillota; Clostridia; Eubacteriales. The record is from RNAcentral.
UACGUAGGUGGCAAGCGUUGUCCGGAUUUACUGGGUGUAAAGGGCGUGUAGCCGGGAGUGCAAGUCAGAUGUGAAAUCUAUGGGCUCAACCCAUAAAUUGCAUUUGAAACUGUGCUUCUUGAGUACUGGAGAGGCAGACGGAAUUCCUAGUGUAGCGGUGAAAUGCGUAGAUAUUAGGAGGAACACCAGUGGCGAAGGCGGUCUGCUGGACAGCAACUGACGGUGAGGCGCGAAAGCGUGGGGAGCAAACAGG